Small nucleolar RNA from Lactuca sativa (garden lettuce), 107 nucleotides. Lineage: Eukaryota; Viridiplantae; Streptophyta; Magnoliopsida; Asterales; Asteraceae. The record is from RefSeq and is a predicted model, not a curated record.
AAGUCGUGAUGUGGGCAAUUCCUCAAUAAACCUUUGUACCUCUCCCACGCCUCAUAAAGUGAUUCGCCCACUUGUUGCUCGAAAUUGGCUAUGGCCUUUUUCAACUU